Molecule: non-coding RNA, 107 nt
Filed under: Oceanibacterium hippocampi
Lineage: Bacteria; Pseudomonadati; Pseudomonadota; Alphaproteobacteria; Sneathiellales; Sneathiellaceae
Description: TPP sequence
Rfam family: TPP riboswitch aptamer (THI element)
About the family: Vitamin B(1) in its active form thiamin pyrophosphate (TPP) is an essential coenzyme that is synthesised by coupling of pyrimidine and thiazole moieties in bacteria. The previously detected thiamin-regulatory element, thi box was extended, resulting in a new, highly conserved RNA secondary structure, the THI element, which is widely distributed in eubacteria and also occurs in some archaea.
Source: Rfam by way of RNAcentral
GCACCACUUGGGGGGAGCCGCCGCGCGGCUGAGAGGUUCCGAUACGGGAACGACCCCUCGAACCUGAUCCGGGUUGUGCCGGCGUAGGAACGAGUGAUUCCAUGACA